Molecule: long non-coding RNA, 760 nt
Filed under: Manacus vitellinus (golden-collared manakin)
Lineage: Eukaryota; Metazoa; Chordata; Aves; Passeriformes; Pipridae
Description: lncRNA (ENSMVIG00005000062.1)
Source: RNAcentral
AUGGGAGGGCGGUCAUAUUUCUUGAGUGCCUGUGACACACUGCAAAACGAUGGGAUAGCAAUGGGCACCUCCUACUUGCUGUCCCGUCUUGGAAGAGCGAUCACAGCAGCGUGCUGUGAGAAGCUGGAGCCCAUUGAUUACUGGAUGUUUCAAUCUGCUGAAAAGAAGGGGCUGUCCCUGAACCAAUGAAACAAUAAGAAGGAAGGGAGAGUGACAAGCUGUGGGGCAAUCUUUGCUCUCAGGGCCCGGGCACUUUCCUUUCACUGGUUCAGCAGAGAUCAACAAGAAGAGGCUGAGUCUGAGAAGUUAACCAUGCAUGGUUCAAGCCACCUGGCAAUGAGCUCUGCAGGCAUAGGAGGCAACCUUUCUGCCUUUAUCAUGAACCUGAGAGCAGUAUAACCAUCUGGCUGGUUAUAAUUUAACAGAAACCCCAUUUUUUAUCUUGCUAUGGUGGUGUGCUUUCUUUUAAAUGUCACCUGUAGAGUUUCCCAAUGAGUGGAGAAGUUUUGCUUUGUAUUUCUUACAGAUACUGACAAAAACUAGUCCACUGGAUUACCAUAAACCUAGCCAUAUUCUUUCUUAGAGGCAUGAGCAAGCUGAAAAGAGUUUGCAGUAACUUUUAUACUUUAAUCAAAAUAUUUUUCAGUAUAUAUUUGUCAUUUUUAACCAGUAGACUCAUUGACUGGUUAUUUUAUUAAUGUUGAAAUCUUACAAUUUUAGAGGAGUUAUUAAGCAAAUAAAUUAAUCUUCAGCUUUCCCA